Molecule: ribosomal RNA, 498 nt
Filed under: uncultured bacterium
Lineage: Bacteria
Description: partial 16S ribosomal RNA
Rfam family: Bacterial small subunit ribosomal RNA
Source: RNAcentral
AUUGAACGCUGGCGGCAUGCCUUACACAUGCAAGUCGAACGGUAACAGGUCUUCGGAUGCUGACGAGUGGCGAACGGGUGAGUAAUACAUCGGAACGUGCCUAGUAGUGGGGGAUAACUACUCGAAAGAGUGGCUAAUACCGCAUGAGAUCUACGGAUGAAAGCAGGGGAUCGCAAGACCUUGUGCUACUAGAGCGGCCGAUGGCAGAUUAGGUAGUUGGUGGGAUAAAAGCUUACCAAGCCGACGAUCUGUAGCUGGUCUGAGAGGACGAUCAGCCACACUGGGACUGAGACACGGCCCAGACUCCUACGGGAGGCAGCAGUGGGGAAGUUUGGACAAUGGGCGAAAGCCUGAUCCAGCAAUGCCGCGUGCAGGAUGAAGGCCUUCGGGUUGUGAACUGCUUUUGUACGGAACGAAAAGCCCUGGGUUAAUACCCUGGGGUCAUGACGGUACCGUAAGAAUAAGCACCGGCUAACUACGUGCCAGCAGCCGCCGUAA